This 793-nucleotide ribosomal RNA is filed under the name uncultured Methanosaeta sp. Its description in RNAcentral is "bacterial SSU rRNA". It matches the Rfam family "Archaeal small subunit ribosomal RNA", at positions 85 to 879 of the family's 1478-position model. Lineage: Archaea; Methanobacteriati; Methanobacteriota; Methanomicrobia; Methanotrichales; Methanotrichaceae. The record is from RNAcentral.
ACGGCUCAGUAACACGUGGAUAACCUACCCUUGGGCCGGGUAUAAACCCGGGAAACUGGGUAUAAUUCCCGAUAGAUCUGGAUUGCUGGAAUGCUGCUAGAUUUAAAGCUCCGGCACCCAAGGAUGGGUCUGCGGCCUAUCAGGUCGUAGUGGGUGUAAUGUACCUACUAGCCUAAUACGGGUACGGGUUGUGAGAGCAAGAGCCCGGAGAUGGAUUCUGAGACACGAAUCCAGGCCCUACGGGGUGCAGCAGGCGCGAAACCUUUACAAUGCGGGCAACCGCGAUAAGGGGACCUCGAGUGCCGACAUCUAAUGUCGGCUGUCGUGAUGCCUAAAAAGCAUUAUAUAGCAAGGGCCNNGCNAGACCGGUGCCAGCCGCCGCGGUAACACCGGCGGCUCGAGUGGUGACCGCUAUUAUUGGGUUUAAAGGGUCUGUAGCCGGCCGGAUAAGUCUCUUGGGAAAUCUGGCCGCUUAACGGUCAGGCUUUCAGGUGAUACUGUCUGGCUCGAGGCCGGGAGAGGUGAGAGGUACUUCAGGGGUAGGGGUGAAAUCUUGUAAUCCUUGAAGGACCACCAGUGGCGAAGGCGUCUCACCAAAACGGACCUGACGGCAAGGGACGAAAGCUAGGGGCACGAACCGGAUUAGAUACCCGGGUAGUCCUAGCCGUAAACAAUACUCGCUAGGUGUCGGCCGCGGUGCGACCGUGGUCGGUGCCGUAGGGAAACCGUGAAGCGAGCCACCUGGGAAGUACGGCCGCAAGGCUGAAACUUAAAGGAAUUGGCGGGGGAGCAC